This 449-nucleotide ribosomal RNA is filed under the name uncultured bacterium. RNAcentral's name for it is "partial 16S ribosomal RNA". It matches the Rfam family "Bacterial small subunit ribosomal RNA", at positions 29 to 523 of the family's 1533-position model. The record is from RNAcentral.
AACGAACGCUGGCGGCAUGCCUAACACAUGCAAGUCGAACGAGAUCUUCGGGUCUAGUGGCGCACGGGUGCGUAACGCGUGGGAAUCUGCCCUUUGGUUCGGAAUAACAGUUGGAAACGACUGCUAAUACCGGAUGAUGACGAAAGUCCAAAGAUUUAUCGCCAGAGGAUGAGCCCGCGUAGGAUUAGCUAGUUGGUGUGGUAAAGGCGCACCAAGGCGACGAUCCUUAGCUGGUCUGAGAGGAUGAUCAGCCACAGUGGGACUGAGACACGGCCCAGACUCCUACGGGAGGCGGCAGUGGGGAAUAUUGGACAAUAGGCGAAAGUCUGGUCCAGCAAUGCCGUGUGAGUGAUGAAGGCCUUAGGUUUGUAAAGCUCUUUUACCCGGGAUGAUAAUGACAGUACCGGGAGAAUAAGCUCCGGCUAACUCCGUGCCAGCCGCCGCCGUAA